GGGUUUUUAAGCGUUGUGGUUUAGGGUAUGUGGUUUUCUGAUUUUAUUUCACAACUUUCCACAUCAGUUUUCGUUUGAACUGUUGUAAUUGAAGCCUUAAAAAAAAAAAAAAACACGAAGUGAACAGUAAUUCAAUAUUUAUUCUUAAGCCUCGAUAGUUCUCUCUUCUAUCUCUUGUCUCUCCUGUCUACCUCUCUCCACGGUCUUGUUCUUCCCACCAUUGCCUUCACCAUGGCCAUAGACAGAGAGACUCUGUCUCUUGCAUCUCCCUCUCUCCACGCUCUCCCUCUCCCCUCCCUCUCCCGUCUCUUUCUUUCUCCUCCCUUCUUCUAGGUCAGGGGGAUUUGGGUUUUAAUUUUAGGGUUAUUGAUUUGGGGAUACUGAUUUGGGUUAUUAUCUAACCAUUUGGGUGUUGGCUUGCGGUUGCUCUACCUCGAUCAACAAAGGUGCUUAGCUUUUUCAUCUCUCUUGCCCUCUACGGUUGUUGCACUCACUCUGAAGCUUUGAUAGUGUGCUUUUCUUUCAUAAGAACUCUGGCCAGCCCCCUUUCUCAGUCUCAGGCCCCUUUCUCAGUCCCUUUUCUUUCAUAAGAACUCUGUGGUUUGUGAAUUUGAAGGUGGGGUUCAGAUAAUCUCAUUACUAUCUUGCUAAGAAGAAAAUUCCUUCUAUCCAUGGAAAUACAAUGGGAGUAAAACUACAGCAGUUCAUAUUUGAUGCGUUUCCAUACGCACCUUCAACUACACUUUUUGAGAGAUUGUUGUGUAGUUUUUAGCCUAAAAGUACAAACCAAAAAGUGGAGGAAUGGCUGCAGAGAUAGUUGUUUCCCGAGCCACGCAGCUCUUGUUUAUUGCUUUGCUCCUCAUGUGCCUUCAAACCCUUAACUUGAGUUGAGAGUUGAGAUCUUCAGCCCUCCUUUGAACUUGGCCUCCAAAACUGAAAAGUAUUUGCAGCCUUUGAGUUGAUAGUUGAUAUCACUCUUGCUUUGCAUUCAAACAGAGGAAUUUCGAUUUCCUCUGGAGCAAAACGUAAUCAUAUUUUGGAGUAAUUCCAGUUGGAGGACAUUCGUGAGCCACUUAGCAUGAUCCUAUCAAAAUUUCAGAUUUUUUUACCAAGCGGUUAUUUUCUGGCAAUAAAAUAAAAGAGCAGUGCGCGGUGCUGGAAUAGUGACGUUUUGGGCUUUUAUUGCGUUUUUAGAGCCCAAAAUGACCUGGAUGGGUUCAUGGCCUUCUGGAGAAGUGUUCAGAAUAUUUUUAUCUUUAAAACAAGCUAUCUUGGGCCAGAUUUGGAGCAGAUUUGAGGCUAAAACGUGGCUAGGCAAAUUGUGGGCAAAUUCUCCUAAUCCAAUUUGGACUUUAUUUCCUAGUAUUAUUUUAUUUUACUUAGUUUCCUUGUGGGGAUAGAAAAGCUGUACAGCUAGGUUUUAAGGGGUAUUUAAGCUCUUUCUCACAACAAUUUUAAGGACUUCUUUUUGGCUCUGGAAUGUGGAGAGCCAUUGCUAGGGUUUUGGGUUUUCAGCGACUUUCAGGUGUUUUCAUUCUUAUUCAUUCGAAUGAUAUUUUCUUUGAAUUUAAUUAUGAGUAUGCGUAACUAAUUCCUUUUGCUA
Molecule: long non-coding RNA, 1603 nt
Organism: Prunus persica (peach)
Lineage: Eukaryota; Viridiplantae; Streptophyta; Magnoliopsida; Rosales; Rosaceae
Exons: 5
Source: RefSeq, a predicted model, not a curated record